Long non-coding RNA from Epinephelus fuscoguttatus (brown-marbled grouper), 1612 nucleotides. RefSeq lists it as uncharacterized. Lineage: Eukaryota; Metazoa; Chordata; Actinopteri; Perciformes; Serranidae. The transcript is spliced from 5 exons. The record is from RefSeq and is a predicted model, not a curated record.
UGUGAGCACUGCAUAACAUAAGGUGCUGUAACUUGAGUCGAAACACCUUUUUGGGAGGGGAGGAGGGCUUACUUUCUGAUCCCUCCGCUGUGAAAGACAGUUCUACUUUUGGGACAACACUGGAAGUUAUGUCAUGAGUAAAAUUGCUUCCGACAACCUUUUUUUGUUUUAAUUUGCGGAUGCAAAGCUCUUUAUUGAUCAAAUACUUGGAAUUAAACCGGCUUUCUCUAACUCUGUGGCGGAUGGAUAUGACGAGUCUUAAUUUUCAGUGGAGGGAUCUACCUGGACACUCGAAAAUCCACGGAUUCCCUGAGCUGCCACUGGAGAAGAUUCUGCAAGACAAAUACACACAGUUACCCUGGUGGACACUUAACAACUCAACUAAGGUUUGUCAACUGUCAAGAGUGGGUGGGAAAGAUUUAAAAGACUGCACGCACAAAGUUCUCGACAGGCUCUUCACCAAUGAAGUGAUGGCACUGUUAAAUAUGAAAGGGAAGGGAAGAAAGACAAGAUGGGGAUAGAGGACACCAAUCUGUUCUCAGCAAUAAAAGCUGCUGUCAUGAAGUGGGACCAAUCCGCAACUGAAGCAGCGAUAAGGGCUGCAGCAGGUGAUCAUUUAAAACAUGCCCCUGGAAGGGUGGGAGGAGGAGGGUAUAAAUAGAAAUUAUUGAAAUGUUCUGAUUGUUCUUGUUGUUCUGAUUGUUAUUGAUGUUCUGUUUAACCUCCUGAGACCAAGCAAUUUAAUUAGUCCACUCUAGAAUUCAUUCUGACUCUUAAGUCUAGUUGUUCCUGAGGGAGGGAGGGAAGGACGGACGGAAAGAAAGGAAGGAAGGAAUGAAUGAAUGAAGGGAGGGAGAGAAGGAAGAACAGGAGGAAGGAAGGAAGGAAGGAAUUGCAAUGUUUGUCUUUGUUGUUUUUUGUUUUUUUUACCAUCACCUUUUUCCUCAAAAGACUUGGUUAAGUUAUAUACUUGUUCCCAAACUGCUAUUAUAUAUAUGUUAAAAACUGUUAUUAUAAUUAGAGUGGAAUGUUGUAGAAAUAAAGAGAGACUGCUUUUUCAAAUUCAGUGUUUACAUGUGGUUUUCAAUAUGUCCAAAAUGUAAUUAUCAGUGAAACUUGAUUUGUACAGAUCAUAUUGACAUUGAUCAUUGAUCAUAUUGGUAAAUAUUUAUUGGCCAUAACCGCAAUUUUAAUGUUAUCUGUAUAGGCUACAAUUUCCAUAUUAGUGGAUCCCUUGUAUGUUGUGUGUUUUCGCCUUUCACACUGUUAAACAGGGUUGCCACGUGUCUGGAAAGACCUGAAAGUGCAUGAAUUAAAAAGAUAGAAACGAAGAACUUUAAAGAUCUUGGAUUUACCAAAAGGUCCUUGAUUUUGAGCUUUGGUCUGUCAACUUUGAACAAUUCAACAAUUAUGGGGCAAGAACACUAUAUUUGUGGCGAGAAGUCAACAGUUUUGUGGCAACAAAACUGGAUAUUUUUCUACCAAGAUGUAGAUGAUUUUUGGCCACAAAAACCGAUAUUUCUAACGAGGCAUAGACAAUUUUUUGGCGACAACUGGGCAUUUUUAUUGAGACAUUAAAUUAUUUGUGGUGACUAAACAGGAUUUAGCAAGA